This 257-nucleotide unclassified non-coding RNA is filed under the name plant metagenome. RNAcentral's name for it is "partial contains small subunit ribosomal RNA, internal transcribed spacer 1, and 5.8S ribosomal RNA". The record is from RNAcentral.
UUUCCGUAGGUGAACCUGCGGAAGGAUCAUUAACGAGUUAGGGUCUUCUAGGCCCGACCUCCCAACCCUUUGUUUACUGAACCAUUGUUGCCUCGGUGGGUCCGUCUUACGACCGCCGGGGGAUCGCCGCGAGGCGCCCCCUGGCCAGCGCCCACCGACAGCCCAACCUUUAAAACCCUUUGUGAAUCGUGUCUUAUGUCUAAAUUUAUGAUUAAACAAUCAAAGCAAAACUUUCAACAACGGAUCUCUUGGUUCUG